GUGCUUUAAGACUCCUUGUACUAUGCCCCAGCCUGCACUGCCUGACUUUGACCCUCGCUGCUUUAAAAUUAGAAGCAAGUCUCAGACAAUGCAGGACCUGCACAGAAAAAUCAGCUGUGCUCUUAGCCACUGCUGAAGUAGAACAUGCCUUUGGAAGAGAGUGAAAUAAGCACUGUCUGAAAAGACAAAAGUGAAGAACACAACCAUGAGUUGAGGCGUUCACCUGCUAAUGGAAAAGUCAUCCAGAGGCAUCCUACCUGCUCCUCUCUAAAAAAAAAAAAAAAUUUAUAAUAAAAAAAUAGUA
Long non-coding RNA from Apus apus (common swift), 304 nucleotides. RefSeq lists it as uncharacterized. The transcript is spliced from 3 exons. NCBI's taxonomy places the organism in Eukaryota, Metazoa, Chordata, Aves, Apodiformes, Apodidae. The record is from RefSeq and is a predicted model, not a curated record.